This 152-nucleotide small nuclear RNA is filed under the name Sorex araneus (European shrew). RNAcentral describes it as "U1 spliceosomal RNA (ENSSARG00000015063.1)". It matches the Rfam family "U1 spliceosomal RNA". Rfam says of the family: U1 is a small nuclear RNA (snRNA) component of the spliceosome (involved in pre-mRNA splicing). Its 5' end forms complementary base pairs with the 5' splice junction, thus defining the 5' donor site of an intron. There are significant differences in sequence and secondary structure between metazoan and yeast U1 snRNAs, the latter being much longer (568 nucleotides as compared to 164 nucleotides in human). The record is from RNAcentral. Lineage: Eukaryota; Metazoa; Chordata; Mammalia; Eulipotyphla; Soricidae.
AUUCUUACAUGACAUGGAGAAUACCAAGACCAUGAAGAUUGUUUUCCCAGGGCAAGACUUACUCAUUACACUCUGAGUGUGCUAAUCCCUGUGAUUUCCCCAAAUGUGGAGAACAAUAUUACAUAAUUUGUGGUAGUGAGGGACUGCCUUCA